CAUGAAGAGGGCGCUGCUGACGCAAGACAUGGUGCUCCACCUCCCUUUCCUCCAAGAGAUAUUAGUCAAAGACUGCAAGGGCAUAGAGGUGAUAAUGGGCACUGUUGCCAAAAUGACGGACUUUUCCUUCCUGAAGUUAAUGAGCCUUGGUCUAUGUAAUCUUCCGGAGCUGAAGAGCAUAUGCGAUGGGACCACGAGAUGCAAUUCCCUCCAGUUGAUAUCUAUUCGCAAUUGUCCAAAACUGAAGGGGAUUCCUCUGCAGCUGCCUGUGCUUGACAAUGGGCUCCCUUCUCCUCCCCCUUCUCUUCAAGAUAUUAGUCAAAGACUGCAAGGGCAUAGAGGUGAUAAUGGGCACUGUUGCCAAAAUGACGCAUUUUUCCUUCCUGAAGUUAAUGAACCUUGGUCUAUGUAAUCUUCCGGAGCUGAAGAGCAUAUGCGAUGGGACCACGAGAUGCAAUUCCCUCCAGUUGAUAUCUAUUCGCAAUUGUCCAAAACUGAAGGGGAUUCCUCUGCAGCUGCCUGUGCUUGACAAUGGGCUCCCUUCUCCUCCCCCUUCUCUUCAAGAUAUUAGUCAAAGACUGCAAGGGCAUAGAGGUGAUAAUGGGCACUGUUGCCAAAAUGACGCAUUUUUCCUUCCUGAAGUUAAUGAAC
RNAcentral lists this long non-coding RNA (651 nucleotides) under Eucalyptus grandis. Its description in RNAcentral is "long non-coding RNA (EGRA_LNC007027)". The record is from RNAcentral. Lineage: Eukaryota; Viridiplantae; Streptophyta; Magnoliopsida; Myrtales; Myrtaceae.